This 480-nucleotide ribosomal RNA is filed under the name uncultured Actinomycetes bacterium. RNAcentral describes it as "bacterial SSU rRNA". It matches the Rfam family "Bacterial small subunit ribosomal RNA", at positions 950 to 1433 of the family's 1533-position model. The record is from RNAcentral. Lineage: Bacteria; Bacillati; Actinomycetota; Actinomycetes.
UUCGACGCUACGCGAAGAACCUUACCAAGGCUUGACAUAUACAGGUAUAUGGCAGAGAUGUCAUAGCCGCAAGGUCUGUAUACAGGUGGUGCAUGGUUGUCGUCAGCUCGUCUCGUGAGAUGUUGGGUUAAGUCCCGCAACGAGCGCAACCCUCGUUCUGUGUUGCCAGCAUUUAGUUGGGGACUCACAGGAGACCUGCCGGGGUUAACUCGGAGGAAGCUGGGGAUGACGUCAAAUCAUCAUGCCCCUUAUGUCUUGGGUGCACGCAUGCUACAAUGGCUGGUACAAACGCCUUGCGAUACCGCAAGCUGGAGCGAAUCCGAUAAAGCCAGUCUCAGUUCGGAUUGGGGUCUGCAACUCGACCCCAUGAAGUCGGAGUUGCUAGUAAUCGUAGAUCAGCAACGCUACGGUGAAUACGUUCCCGGGGCUUGUACACACCGCCCGUCACAUCACGAAAGUCGUAACACCCAAAGUCAGUGC